Molecule: long non-coding RNA, 345 nt
Filed under: Setaria italica (foxtail millet)
Lineage: Eukaryota; Viridiplantae; Streptophyta; Magnoliopsida; Poales; Poaceae
Description: long non-coding RNA (SITA_LNC001233)
Source: RNAcentral
GCAGGUUAAAGCUACAUAGUUAGGAAAGAGCACCUGCACCUGGCUCUCUCCAUUAGUGGAUAUACGGUACCUGGUACUGAACUGGGUAACCAUUACCAUAAUAAGGUGUGUGGGCAGGUUGGAUCGUGUAAGGUGCUGAGCUCAUCAUUGGAGGAUGAUGGGCCUCCGCACCAUACACAAACUGCCUCUCGUAAGGGUAGGAGGGAAGCCUCUCUGGGGUUGCAGGAUAAAAGCUCUUGUCAGCAAAGCCGGUAGCACGGGGUGCAAAGGCUGAUCCAUUUGCACGAGGCCUCUUGGACUGUGGCUUUGCUGCUUCAACAGCCCUCCUCUUGUCUGCCUUUGCUU